RNAcentral lists this transfer RNA (93 nucleotides) under Actinocatenispora thailandica. Its description in RNAcentral is "tRNA-Arg". The record is from RNAcentral. Lineage: Bacteria; Bacillati; Actinomycetota; Actinomycetes; Micromonosporales; Micromonosporaceae.
UUGGCCAGUACCCGGUGUACGUGUGUCUUCGCGGUGGGUUCGGCGAUGCCCAGCGCGGCGGCGAGCUCGGCGUUCGACGCGCCGUGGCCGAGC